GGCUGGUCCAAAGGUAGUGAGUUAGCUCAACUGAUGGUUCACAGUCAGUUACAGAUCGAACUCCUUGUUCUACUCUUUCCCCCUCUUCUCACUACUGCACUUGACUAGUCUUAA
Callithrix jacchus (white-tufted-ear marmoset) is the source of this 114-nucleotide Y RNA. It matches the Rfam family "Y RNA". Rfam says of the family: Y RNAs are components of the Ro ribonucleoprotein particle (Ro RNP), in association with Ro60 and La proteins. The Y RNAs and Ro60 and La proteins are well conserved, but the function of the Ro RNP is not known. In humans the RNA component can be one of four small RNAs -- hY1, hY3, hY4 and hY5. NCBI's taxonomy places the organism in Eukaryota, Metazoa, Chordata, Mammalia, Primates, Cebidae. The record is from Ensembl.